RNAcentral lists this ribosomal RNA (411 nucleotides) under Verrucomicrobiota bacterium. Its description in RNAcentral is "Verrucomicrobia bacterium partial 16S ribosomal RNA". It matches the Rfam family "Bacterial small subunit ribosomal RNA", at positions 355 to 776 of the family's 1533-position model. The record is from RNAcentral. Lineage: Bacteria; Pseudomonadati; Verrucomicrobiota.
UGGGGAAUCUUGCACAAUGGGCGAAAGCCUGAUGCAGCGACGCCGCGUGCGGGAUGAAGGCCUUCGGGUUGUAAACCGCUUUCAGCAGGGACGAGGCCGCAAGGUGACGGUACCUGCAGAAGAAGCCCCGGCUAACUACGUGCCAGCAGCCGCGGUAAUACGUAGGUGGCAAGCGUUGUCCGGAAUUAUUGGGCGUAAAGCGCGCGCAGGUGGUUUAGAAAGUCUGAUGUGAAAGCCCACGGCUCAACCGUGGAGGGUCAUUGGAAACUAAUAAACUUGAGUGCAGGAGAGAAAAGUGGAAUUCCUAGUGUAGCGGUGAAAUGCGUAGAGAUUAGGAGGAACACCGGUGGCGAAAGCGGCUUUUUGGCCUGCAACUGACACUGAGGCGCGAAAGCGUGGGGAGCAAACAGG